CCUACGGGAGGCAGCAGUGGGGAAUAUUGCACAAUGGGGGGAACCCUGAUGCAUCGACGCCGCGUGGGUGAAGGAGUACUUCGGUACGUAAAGCCCUAUCAGCAGGAAAGCAAAUGACGGUACCUGACUAAGAAUCCCCGGCUCACUACGUGCCAGCAGCCGCGGUAAUACGUAGGGGGCAAGCGUUAUCCGGAUUUACUGGGUGUAAAGGGGGCGUAGACGGCAGUGCAAGUCCGGAGUGAAAGCCCGGGGCUCAACCCUGGGGCUGCUGUGGAAACUGUAAAGCUGGAGUGCGGGAGGGGCAGGCGGAAUGCGUGGUGUAGCGGUGAAAUGCGUAGAUAUCAGGAGGAACCCCGACGGCGAAGGCGGCGUGCUGGCUCGAAACUGACGUUGAGGCUCGAAAGCGUGGGGAGCGAACAGGAUUAGAUACCCUUGUAGUC
Molecule: ribosomal RNA, 440 nt
Filed under: uncultured bacterium
Lineage: Bacteria
Description: partial 16S ribosomal RNA
Rfam family: Bacterial small subunit ribosomal RNA
Source: RNAcentral